This 253-nucleotide ribosomal RNA is filed under the name uncultured bacterium. RNAcentral's name for it is "partial 16S ribosomal RNA". It matches the Rfam family "Bacterial small subunit ribosomal RNA", at positions 524 to 776 of the family's 1533-position model. The record is from RNAcentral.
UACGGAGGGGGCGAGCGUUAUUCGGAAUUAUUGGGCGUAAAGGGCGCGUAGGCGGCUCGAUAAGUCAAAGGUGAAAUCCCUCGGCUCAACUGAGGAACUGCCUUUGAAACUGCCGAGCUUGAGUCCGGGAGGGGGUGGCGGAAUUCCCAGUGUAGCGGUGAAAUGCGUAGAUAUUGGGAGGAACACCAGUGGCGAAGGCGGCCACCUGGACCGGAACUGACGCUGAUGCGCGAAAGCGUGGGUAGCAAACAGG